AGGAUAAAGCAUGGCAACGUUUACAGGAAUGUAAUAGUGAGAAACUGUUGUUAUAACUUCUUUAGGAUGAAUGGAACCUGUGUAGAAUGUCCAAUCGGUCACUACUCUAAAGGCAUAAAAUGUAUGAAAUGCCGACAUGGACAAUUCGGGAGAAAAUGCGCAGAAACCUGUAGUUGUAGCAGAUCGGAAAGAUGCGAUCAUAGAGUUGGAUGCGUUACUAGC
Molecule: long non-coding RNA, 222 nt
Organism: Mytilus californianus (California mussel)
Lineage: Eukaryota; Metazoa; Mollusca; Bivalvia; Mytilida; Mytilidae
Exons: 3
Source: RefSeq, a predicted model, not a curated record